RNAcentral lists this ribosomal RNA (808 nucleotides) under uncultured Bacillota bacterium. RNAcentral's name for it is "bacterial SSU rRNA". It matches the Rfam family "Bacterial small subunit ribosomal RNA", at positions 623 to 1438 of the family's 1533-position model. The record is from RNAcentral. Lineage: Bacteria; Bacillati; Bacillota.
GCCUUGGAAACUUACUGACUUGAGCGCAGGAGAGGAGAGCGGAAUUCCUAGUGUAGCGGUGAAAUGCGUAGAUAUUAGGAGGAACACCAGUGGCGAAGGCGGCUCUCUGGACUGUAACUGACGCUGAGGCACGAAAGCGUGGGGAGCGAACAGGAUUAGAUACCCUGGUAGUCCACGCCGUAAACGAUGAGUGCUAGGUGUCGGGGGUUACCCCCCUCGGUGCCGCAGUUAACGCAAUAAGCACUCCGCCUGGGGAGUACGGUCGCAAGACUGAAACUCAAAGGAAUUGACGGGGACCCGCACAAGCAGCGGAGCAUGUGGUUUAAUUCGAAGCAACGCGAAGAACCUUACCAGGACUUGACAUCCUCUGCAUUACCCUUAAUCGGGGAAAUCCCUUCGGGGACAGAGAGACAGGUGGUGCAUGGUUGUCGUCAGCUCGUGUCGUGAGAUGUUGGGUUAAGUCCCGCAACGAGCGCAACCCUUGUCAUUAGUUGCUACGAAAGGGCACUCUUAUGAGACUGCCGGUGACAAACCGGAGGAAGGUGGGGAUGACGUCAGGUCAUCAUGGCCCUUAUGGGUAGGGCUACACACGUCAUACAAUGGCCGGUACAGAGGGCUGCCAACCCGCGAGGGGGAGCCAAUCCCAGAAAACCGGUCGUAGUCCGGAUCGCAGUCUGCAACUCGACUGCGUGAAGUCGGAAUCGCUAGUAAUCGCGGAUCAGCUUGCCGCGGUGAAUACGUUCCCGGGUCUUGUACACACCGCCCGUCACACCAUGGGAGCGGGUUCUGCCAGAAGUAGUUAGCCUAA